CUCUCUCUUGGGGUGACUAUAUUGAUAAACUUUUGGCCAAUCUUCUUAAGUGAAAUUCAAUCCAUUAAGCUUUGUAUUAUCUUGGAAAAAAAAGAUAGCAAAAGAAAAAUAUGAUUUUUUUUCUUUUGCUGAUUUUUAUAACAUUGCACACAUUUUUUUGUUUUUCAUGUUUUUAACACUACUAGGAAUAGUACAAUAUUUUCAAAGACUCGUAUACGUUAGUUAUUCAUAAGUAAUUAGGAAAUUAAAAAGUAAUUAGAAAUCUUUAAUCAGUGGAUUUAAGCAGAAUUAUAAAUAAUUGUCAUUAUGGUCUUUUUAUGUAUAUAUCUAGUUUAUUUGCAUCAAGCAUGAUGGGGUGUGUUUCUUGAUCUCUUUUGACCAAACACAUUAAAUUAAUCCCCCUGUCUUCGAUUUACACAAGUCGUGCAUUUGAGGUCAUUUGGAAAUCCUUUUCAGUCACAGUUCAUCAAUCACAAAGUAAAUCUGGAUGGGACUUUGCUCUUGUCUCAUCAGAGACUCCCCUCAAGCUCCAUAAAUUUUUGAUUUGCCGCUAUGGUUGGCUGGUUUUAAUUUAGAGUUGAAGAACAAACAGCAUAGUUGUCUGGAAUUGCACUUGGAGAAAAAGAAUGUAUGAAAUCUUUGGAUCAGAUUCUGGGAGACGGAUUGCAAUGUCUCUGAGAACUGGGGAGCCACAAUGCAUACUGCACACUCAUGUACCGUGUGGUAGUAAAAAAUAAAGAAAACCCCAAUACAUUUCUUCGAAUGGAAAUUGCACUCAGUAUCAUGUAUAUUACAUGUGUAGCUAUUUAUUUAGAAGUAUAUAUGAUAUUGUUACAGAGAUGAGACACCUGUCAUAAUGCUCUCUCAUUAAGAUGGCACUUGUCACUGCUGUGAAUAGUGAAAUUCUUAUAAAAAUGCAAUGGGUUGCUGGUGAGGUUUUUAAGAAUAAACAUGGGGUUACACAGGGUGAGCAAAAACAACAUAUAAUGGCCAGACUUCCAGGUUCCAGAUUUACUUGGUAGUUUUGCUCUCUGUUCCUAUAAAAUAGAAUGACAUAAUGGCCCCUCUCUCCACUUACAGAACAAUUUAAAUACGUCCUUUAGAUGAAACCCAUGAGAUUAAUUUUGGCGUAAGUUUGUUUUGGCUAGGAUGUGCGACAUUUCUUCAUUAUGGUUACAUGUUUAUGGUGUGAUUGGGAUAGUUGCAAAGACAAUUGUGGAUCGACAAUUCUGUGUAACUGGAGGUAUGUCAUGUAUUUUGCUCCAGGAUUUAUGUGAUUAUAAAUCUUUUACGCAAUAAAGCUAAUGUAGUAAUUCUUCAGGCAUAUUGUUGUCUGGGUUGGAGACAGACACCACACGAUAAAACAUUUUCUUAAACAAUUUUUAAAAAUGUGCAAAUAGUGGCAUUAUUUGACAUGGGCUACAUGAUCAAGGUGUAGAGCACUCAAGAAAUAGAAAUCAAAUAACUGCUAGUAUUUUAAUUGGUUGGAGUUCAUCAGAAGGAGGGGCUUGACCAAGGCACCAUUCCUGCGAUAACCAUAACUGCAUGCAUAUUUCUAAUUGAAGCUCACAAAAUUAGGCAUAGUGAUUGUGAUUAAUUGCAGCACUAAAGUGUGAUUAAUCUGAUAAAAUGUUUAAUGCACAGGUAAAAUAAUUCCAAAUAUAUUCCCAGAUGACCGGCUCUAUAAACUAAUUCCAUUUCACAAAUAACUUUUAAAACAACAUUGACAUCAUUUAACAGCAAUUAUAACAUUGACCCAAAAAUUUAAAUAAAUAAAUCCACA
Long non-coding RNA from Xiphophorus hellerii (green swordtail), 1783 nucleotides. RefSeq lists it as uncharacterized. The record is from RefSeq and is a predicted model, not a curated record. The transcript has 2 exons. Lineage: Eukaryota; Metazoa; Chordata; Actinopteri; Cyprinodontiformes; Poeciliidae.